AAAAAAGGUAAGCUACUAAGAGCGAAUGGUGGAUGCCUUGACUGGUAAAGGCGAUGAAGGACGUACUAGACUGCGAUAAGCUACGGGGAGCUGUCAAGAAGCUUUGAUCCGUAGAUUUCCGAAUGGGGCAACCCAAUGUAUAGAGAUAUACAUUACCUAUAUAGGAGCGAACGAGGGGAAUUGAAACAUCUUAGUACCCUCAGGAAAAGAAAUCAAUAGAGAUUGCGUCAGUAGCGGCGAGCGAAAGCGCAAGAGGGCAAACCCAGUGCUUGCACUGGGGGUUGUAGGACUGCAAUGUGCAAGAGGUAAGUUUAGCAGAACAUUCUGGAAAGUAUAACCAUAGAGGGUGAUAGUCCCGUAUGCGAAAAACAAACCUUAGCUAGCAGUAUCCUGAGUAGGGCGGGACACGAGGAAUCCUGUCUGAAUCCGGGUCGACCACGAUCCAACCCUAAAUACUAAUACCAGAUCGAUAGUGCACAAGUACCGUGAGGGAAAGGUGAAAAGAACUGAGGUGAUCAGAGUGAAAUAGAACCUGAAACCAUUUGCUUACAAUCAUUCAGAGCCCUAUGUAGCAAUACAGGGUGAUGGACUGCCUUUUGCAUAAUGAGCCUGCGAGUUGUGGUGUCUGGCAAGGUUAAGCAAACGCGAAGCCGUAGCGAAAGCGAGUCUGAAUAGGGCGCUUAGUCAGAUGCUGCAGACCCGAAACGAAGUGAUCUAUCCAUGAGCAAGUUGAAGCUAGUGUAAGAACUAGUGGAGGACUGAACCCAUAGGCGUUGAAAAGCCCCGGGAUGACUUGUGGAUAGGGGUGAAAGGCCAAUCAAACUUCGUGAUAGCUGGUUCUCUCCGAAAUAUAUUUAGGUAUAGCGUUGUGUCGUAAUAUAAGGGGGUAGAGCACUGAAUGGGCUAGGGCAUACACCAAUGUACCAAACCCUAUCAAACUCCGAAUACCUUAUAUGUAAUCACAGCAGUCAGGCGGCGAGUGAUAAAAUCCGUCGUCAAGAGGGAAACAACCCAGACUACCAGCUAAGGUCCCUAAAUCUUACUUAAGUGGAAAACGAUGUGAAGUUACUUAAACAACCAGGAGGUUGGCUUAGAAGCAGCCAUCCUUUAAAGAAAGCGUAAUAGCUCACUGGUCUAGUGAUUUUGCGCGGAAAAUAUAACGGGGCUAAAGUAAGUACCGAAGCUGUAGACUUGCACACAACUUAGAUUAUUUAAGUUUAGAAUAUGAGAAACUAAGUUAUAUGUUUAGUUAUAUUUUUACUGAUUUUUAUAGAGUAAAGAUAGAAAUAAAACUUAGUAAAAUCAGUAAAAAUAUUCUUAGACUAAAGUUAAGUAGUUUAAGUUGUGUGCAAGUGGUAGGAGAGCGUUCUAUUUGCGUCGAAGGUAUACCGGUAAGGAGUGCUGGAGCGAAUAGAAGUGAGCAUGCAGGCAUGAGUAGCGAUAAUUAAUGUGAGAAUCAUUAACGCCGUAAACCCAAGGUUUCCUACGCGAUGCUCGUCAUCGUAGGGUUAGUCGGGUCCUAAGUCGAGUCCGAAAGGGGUAGACGAUGGCAAAUUGGUUAAUAUUCCAAUACCAACAUUAGUGUGCGAUGGAAGGACGCUUAGGGCUAAGGGGGCUAGCGGAUGGAAGUGCUAGUCUAAGGUCGUAGGAGGUUAUACAGGCAAAUCCGUAUAACAAUACUCCGAGAACUGAAAGGCUUUUUGAAGUCUUCGGAUGGAUAGAAGAACCCCUGAUGCCGUCGAGCCAAGAAAAGUUUCUAAGUUUAGCUAAUGUUGCCCGUACUGUAAACCGACACAGGUGGGUGGGAUGAGUAUUCUAAGGCGCGUGGAAGAACUCUCUUUAAGGAACUCUGCAAAAUAGCACCGUAUCUUCGGUAUAAGGUGUGGUUAGCUUUGUAUUAGGAUUUACUCCGAAAGCAAGGAAACUUACAACAAAGAGUCCCUCCCGACUGUUUACCAAAAACACAGCACUCUGCUAACUCGUAAGAGGAUGUAUAGGGUGUGACGCCUGCCCGGUGCUCGAAGGUUAAUUGAUGGGGUUAGCAUUAGCGAAGCUCUUGAUCGAAGCCCGAGUAAACGGCGGCCGUAACUAUAACGGUCCUAAGGUAGCGAAAUUCCUUGUCGGUUAAAUACCGACCUGCAUGAAUGGCGUAACGAGAUGGGAGCUGUCUCAAAGAGGGAUCCAGUGAAAUUGUAGUGGAGGUGAAAAUUCCUCCUACCCGCGGCAAGACGGAAAGACCCCGUGGACCUUUACUACAGCUUGACACUGCUACUUGGAUAAGAAUGUGCAGGAUAGGUGGGAGGCUUUGAGUAUAUGACGCCAGUUGUAUAUGAGCCAUUGUUGAGAUACCACUCUUUCUUAUUUGGGUAGCUAACCAGCUUGAGUUAUCCUCAAGUGGGACAAUGUCUGGUGGGUAGUUUGACUGGGGCGGUCGCCUCCCAAAUAAUAACGGAGGCUUACAAAGGUUGGCUCAGAACGGUUGGAAAUCGUUCGUAGAGUAUAAAGGUAUAAGCCAGCUUAACUGCAAGACAUACAAGUCAAGCAGAGACGAAAGUCGGUCUUAGUGAUCCGGUGGUUCUGUGUGGAAGGGCCAUCGCUCAAAGGAUAAAAGGUACCCCGGGGAUAACAGGCUGAUCUCCCCCAAGAGCUCACAUCGACGGGGAGGUUUGGCACCUCGAUGUCGGCUCAUCGCAUCCUGGGGCUGGAGCAGGUCCCAAGGGUAUGGCUGUUCGCCAUUUAAAGCGGUACGCGAGCUGGGUUCAGAACGUCGUGAGACAGUUCGGUCCCUAUCUGCCGUGGGCGUAAGAAGAUUGAAGAGAUUUGACCCUAGUACGAGAGGACCGGGUUGAACAAACCACUGGUGUAGCUGUUGUUCUGCCAAGAGCAUCGCAGCGUAGCUAAGUUUGGAAAGGAUAAACGCUGAAAGCAUCUAAGCGUGAAGCCAACUCUAAGAUGAAUCUUCUCUAAGCUCUCUAGAAGACUACUAGUUUGAUAGGCUGGGUGUGUAAUGGAUGAAAGUCCUUUAGCUGACCAGUACUAAUAGAGCGUUUGGCUUAUCUUUAAUAAAGCAU
RNAcentral lists this ribosomal RNA (3071 nucleotides) under Campylobacter jejuni. RNAcentral's name for it is "bacterial LSU rRNA". It matches the Rfam family "Bacterial large subunit ribosomal RNA". The record is from RNAcentral. Lineage: Bacteria; Pseudomonadati; Campylobacterota; Epsilonproteobacteria; Campylobacterales; Campylobacteraceae.